AGUGAACGCUGGCGGUAGGCCUAACACAUGCAAGUCGAACGGCAGCACAGUAAGAGCUUGCUCUUACGGGUGGCGAGUGGCGGACGGGUGAGGAAUACAUCGGAAUCUACUUUUUCGUGGGGGAUAACGUAGGGAAACUUACGCUAAUACCGCAUACGACCUACGGGUGAAAGCAGGGGAUCUUCGGACCUUGCGCGAUUGAAUGAGCCGAUGUCGGAUUAGCUAGUUGGCGGGGUAAAGGCCCACCAAGGCGACGAUCCGUAGCUGGUCUGAGAGGAUGGUCAGCCACACUGGAACUGAGACACGGUCCAGACUCCUACGGGAGGCAGCAGUGGGGAAUAUUGGACAAUGGGCGCAAGCCUGAUCCAGCCAUACCGCGUGGGUGAAGAAGGCCUUCGGGUUGUAAAGCCCUUUUGUUGGGAAAGAAAAGCAGCAGGUUAAGACCCCGCUGUUCGGACGGUACCCAAAGAAGAAGCACCGGCUAACUUCGU
Molecule: ribosomal RNA, 491 nt
Filed under: uncultured bacterium
Lineage: Bacteria
Description: partial 16S ribosomal RNA
Rfam family: Bacterial small subunit ribosomal RNA
Source: RNAcentral